CCAGGGGAGUGCACCUCCUUGGGUUUACUUAUUGAUUGCUAUUUGUUUGUUUUUGUUUACCAAACUCUCGGCGCGGUGAAUGGCAAUAAAGAGGGAAUUAAUGUAAUCGAAAUCAAUUUUUCGGCACUCCUUAAAAAAUAAGGAAAACAAGCUCUUAUAACUAACUCAGCUAGGCCGCUUGGUUUGACUUUUGAACACGGCUGCGACUCCUUUGUUGUUACCGUUGUAUUAACAACUGCAGCCAGCGGACAGUUGCCUUUCUUGCGGAACGAUUUUACUUUGAGCGACUUUAGCUCUACCCUUUUUUGAAGCUACUUUUGAAGGGUAUGAUACAGAAAAACUGUUGUUUUCGAAGCUAAACGGCCCAAAUGAAGGCUUGGUAGCGGUUAUUCCAGUUCACCUAAUUUCCUGCCUUAACACCAAGUGAUUCCAUUAACUUUAUGCAGGUGUAAAGAGAUUGCGUACGGGAGUAGUGUUAACGACGACACCGUUCUCUACGUUUUCGUUAUAGUUGUUGUUGGUAUCCUUUUUAAUUAAUAUUAGUUAAUUAUUAUCGACUUUGAUUUUCCCUUAAUUACAGUCACUCCGGAAACUUUGUAAUAUUAUAAAAC
Molecule: long non-coding RNA, 611 nt
Organism: Zophobas morio
Lineage: Eukaryota; Metazoa; Arthropoda; Insecta; Coleoptera; Tenebrionidae
Exons: 5
Source: RefSeq, a predicted model, not a curated record